RNAcentral lists this ribosomal RNA (162 nucleotides) under uncultured bacterium. Its description in RNAcentral is "partial 16S ribosomal RNA". It matches the Rfam family "Bacterial small subunit ribosomal RNA", at positions 609 to 771 of the family's 1533-position model. The record is from RNAcentral.
UUAACCAUAGUAUGCUUUGGAAACUGUUCAACUUGAGUGCAGGAGAGGUAAGCGGAAUUCCUAGUGUAGCGGUGAAAUGCGUAGAUAUUAGGAGGAACACCAGUGGCGAAGGCGGCUUACUGGACUGUAACUGACGUUGAGGCUCGAAAGCGUGGGGAGCAA